AGCAGCCGCGGUAAUUCCAGCUCCAAUAGCGUAUACUAAAGUUGUUGCAGUUAAAAAGCUCGUAGUUGAAUUUCGGGAUUGACGUGAUGGUCGUGCCUUAAGGGGUAUGAACUGUUGCUGUUGAUUUCUCACCUUCUGGAGAAACUUGAUGUCCUUAAUUGGGUGUCUUGCGGAUCCAGGACCUUUACCUUGAAAAAAUUAGAGUGUUUAAAGCAGGCAUUUUGCUCGAAUACAUUAGCAUGGAAUAAUAGAAUAGGACGGCAUGGUUCUAUUUUGUUGGUUUCUAGGAUCACCGUAAUGAUUAAUAGGGAUAGUUGGGGGCAUUAGUAUUCAAUUGUCAGAGGUGAAAUUCUUGGAUUUAUUGAAGACUAACUACUGCGAAAGCAUUUGCCAAGGAUGUUUUCAUUAAUCAAGAACGAAAGUUAGGGGAUCGAAGACGAUCAGAUACCGUCGUAGUCUUAACCAUAAACUAUGCCGACUAGGAAUCAGACGAUGUUAAUUUUUAAU
This 507-nucleotide ribosomal RNA is filed under the name uncultured Entrophospora. RNAcentral describes it as "SSU rRNA". It matches the Rfam family "Eukaryotic small subunit ribosomal RNA", at positions 569 to 1074 of the family's 1831-position model. The record is from RNAcentral. Lineage: Eukaryota; Fungi; Glomeromycota; Glomeromycetes; Entrophosporales; Entrophosporaceae.